RNAcentral lists this ribosomal RNA (578 nucleotides) under Yersinia massiliensis. Its description in RNAcentral is "partial 23S ribosomal RNA". It matches the Rfam family "Bacterial large subunit ribosomal RNA", at positions 155 to 775 of the family's 2925-position model. Lineage: Bacteria; Pseudomonadati; Pseudomonadota; Gammaproteobacteria; Enterobacterales; Yersiniaceae. The record is from RNAcentral.
UUGAUGAAUUCAUAGUCAAACGAGGCGAACCGGGGGAACUGAAACAUCUAAGUACCCCGAGGAAAAGAAAUCAACCGAGAUUCCCCCAGUAGCGGCGAGCGAACGGGGAAAAGCCCAGAGUCUGAAUCAGGUGGUGUGUUAGUGGAAGCGUCUGGAAAGUCGCACGGUACAGGGUGAUAGUCCCGUACACCAAAACACACUUCCUGCGAACUCUAUGAGUAGGGCGGGACACGUGACAUCCUGUCUGAAUAUGGGGGGACCAUCCUCCAAGGCUAAAUACUCCUGACUGACCGAUAGUGAACCAGUACCGUGAGGGAAAGGCGAAAAGAACCCCGGCGAGGGGAGUGAAAUAGAACCUGAAACCGUGUACGUACAAACAGUGGGAGCACCUUCGUGGUGUGACUGCGUACCUUUUGUAUAAUGGGUCAGCGACUUAUAUUUUGUAGCAAGGUUAACCGAAUAGGGGAGCCGCAGGGAAACCGAGUCUUAACUGGGCGUCUAGUUGCAAGGUAUAGACCCGAAACCCGGUGAUCUAGCCAUGGGCAGGUUGAAAGUUGGGUAACACUAACUGGAGGACC